This is an RNA transcript of Camarhynchus parvulus, 6383 nucleotides long. It is a transcript of the gene named myosin-6-like, with no coding region annotated. NCBI's taxonomy places the organism in Eukaryota, Metazoa, Chordata, Aves, Passeriformes, Thraupidae. The transcript has 38 exons. The record is from RefSeq and is a predicted model, not a curated record.
CGCGAGUGCUUCGUGCCCCACCCGGGACACGAGUUCGUCCGGGGACGCGUGCUGGACAGACAGGGCGGCAGCAUCACCGUGGAGACCGAGCUGGGAGAGACGGUGACGGUCAAGGAGGGCGACGUGCACCAGCAGAACCCGCCCAAGUUCGACAAGAUCGAGGACAUGGCCAUGCUGACGUUCCUGCACGAGCCCGCCGUGCUCUUCAACCUCAAGGAGCGCUACGCGGCCUGGAUGAUCUACACCUACUCGGGGCUGUUCUGUGUCACCGUGAACCCCUACAAGUGGCUCCCGGUCUAUGACCCACAAGUGGUGGCCGCCUACCGGGGCAAGAAGCGCAACGAGGUCCCCCCGCACAUCUUCUCCAUCUCCGACAAUGCCUACCAGUACAUGCUGACAGACCGCGAGAACCAAUCCAUCCUCAUCACCGGCGAAUCGGGGGCGGGCAAAACAGUGAACACCAAACGCGUCAUCCAGUACUUCGCCAGCAUCGCCGCCAUCGGCGACCGCAAGAAGGAGGCGGCCAAUAGCAACAAGGGCACCCUGGAGGAUCAAAUCAUCCAGGCCAACCCCGCGCUCGAGGCCUUCGGCAACGCCAAGACCGUGCGCAAUGACAACUCCUCGCGAUUCGGGAAAUUCAUCCGGAUCCACUUCGGGGCCACCGGGAAGUUGGCGUCGGCCGACAUCGAGACGUACCUCCUGGAGAAGUCCCGUGUCAUCUUCCAGCUAAAGGCGGAACGGAACUACCACAUUUUCUACCAGAUCCUCUCCAACAAGAAGCCGGAGCUUCUGGAGAUGCUGCUGGUCACCUCCAACCCCUACGACUACGGGUAUGUGUCCCAGGGCGAGGUGACCGUGGCCUCCAUCGAUGACGCCGAGGAGCUGUUGGCAACUGACAGCGCCUUUGACGUCCUGGGCUUCACGGCCGAGGAGAAGGCCGGUGUCUACAAGCUGACGGGGGCCAUCAUGCACUUCGGCAACAUGAAGUUCAAGCAGAAGCAGCGGGAGGAGCAGGCGGAGCCGGACGGCACCGAUGCCGACAAGUCCGCCUACCUGAUGGGGCUGAACUCGGCUGACUUGCUCAAGGGCUUGUGUCACCCGCGCGUCAAGGUGGGCAACGAGUAUGUCACCAAGGGGCAGAGCGUCCAGCAGGUCUACUACUCCAUCGGGGCCUUGGCCAAGGCCGUCUAUGAGAAGAUGUUCAACUGGAUGGUGGUGAGGAUCAACAACUCGCUGGACACCAAGCAGCCACGGCAGUACUUCAUCGGCGUCUUGGACAUCGCUGGCUUCGAGAUCUUUGAUUUCAACAGCUUCGAGCAGCUGUGCAUCAACUUCACCAACGAGAAGCUGCAGCAGUUCUUCAACCACCACAUGUUCGUGCUGGAGCAGGAGGAGUACAAGAAGGAGGGCAUUGAGUGGGAGUUCAUUGACUUCGGCAUGGACCUGCAGGCCUGCAUCGACCUCAUCGAGAAGCCCAUGGGGAUCAUGUCCAUCCUGGAGGAGGAGUGCAUGUUCCCCAAGGCCUCGGACAUGACCUUCAAGUCCAAACUCUACGACAACCACCUGGGCAAGUCGGCCAACUUCGGGAAGCCACGGAACGUCAAGGGCAAGUCCGAAGCCCACUUCUCGCUCACCCACUACGCCGGCACCGUGGACUACAACAUCCUGGGCUGGCUGGAGAAGAACAAGGACCCCCUCAACGAGACGGUGGUGGGGCUCUACCAGAAAUCCGCCCUCAAGCUCUUGGCCCACCUCUUCUCCAACUACGCCGGGGCAGACUCUGGCGCUGACAGCGGGAAGGGGAAGGGAGCCAAGAAGAAAGGUUCCUCCUUCCAGACGGUCUCAGCCCUGCACCGGGAGAACCUCAACAAGCUGAUGGCCAACCUCAAGACCACCCACCCCCACUUCGUCCGCUGCCUCGUCCCGAAUGAGCGGAAGGAGCCGGGUGUGAUGGACAACGCCCUGGUCAUGCACCAGCUCCGCUGCAACGGGGUCCUGGAGGGAAUCCGCAUCUGCCGCAAGGGCUUUCCCAACCGCAUCCUCUACGGGGACUUCCGACAGCGGUACCGCAUCCUGAACCCCGCGGCCAUCCCCGAGGGGCAGUUCAUCGACAGCCGCAAGGGCGCCGAGAAGCUCCUGGGCUCCAUCGACAUCGACCACAACCAGUACAAGUUUGGGCACACCAAGGUCUUCUUCAAGGCAGGGCUCCUGGGCCAGCUGGAGGAGAUGCGGGACGACCGCCUGUCCCGCAUCAUCACCCGCAUCCAGGCGCGGGCGCGGGGGCAGCUCAUGCGCAUCGAGUUCAAGAAGAUCGUGGAGCGCCGGGACGCGCUGCUGGUGAUCCAGUGGAACCUCCGGGCCUUCAUGGGGGUGAAGAACUGGCCGUGGAUGAAGCUCUACUUCAAGAUCAAGCCCUUGCUGAAGAGCGCGGAGACGGAGAAGGAGAUGCAGAACAUGAAGGAGGAGUACGGGCGGCUGAAGGAUGCCCUGGAGAAGUCGGAGUCCGCGGCGGAAGGAGCUGGAGGAGAAGAUGGUCUCCAUGCUGCAGGAGAAGAACGACCUCCAGCUCCAAGUGCAGGCUGAGCAGGACAACCUGAAUGAUGCCGAGGAACGCUGUGACCAGCUGAUCAAGAACAAGAUCCAGCUGGAGGCCAAGGUGAAAGAGCUGACAGAACGGCUGGAGGAUGAGGAGGAGAUGAAUGCCGAGCUGACAGCCAAGAAGAGGAAGCUGGAGGACGAAUGCUCGGAGCUGAAGAAGGACAUUGAUGACCUGGAGCUGACCCUGGCCAAGGUGGAGAAGGAGAAACACGCGACUGAGAACAAGGUCAAGAACCUGACGGAGGAGAUGGCGGGGCUGGACGAGACCAUCGCCAAGCUGGCCAAGGAGAAGAAGGCUCUGCAGGAGUCCCACCAGCAGACGCUGGACGACCUGCAGGCUGAGGAAGACAAGGUCAACACCUUGACUAAGGGCAAAGUCAAGCUGGAACAGCAAGUGGAUGAUCUCGAAGGGUCCCUGGAACAGGAGAAGAAGAUCCGGAUGGACCUGGAACGGGCCAAGAGGAAACUGGAAGGUGACCUGAAGCUGACCCAGGAGAACAUCAUGGAUCUGGAGAAUGACAAGCAGCAGCUGGAGGAGAAGCUCAAGAAGAAGGAGUUUGAGAUCCACCAGCAGAACAGCAGGAUCGAGGACGAGCAGGCGCUGGCUCUGCAGCUCCAGAAGAAGCUGAAGGAGCUACAGGCACGGAUUGAGGAGCUGGAGGAGGAGCUGGAGGCGGAGCGGACGGGCCGGGCCAAGGUGGAGAAGCAGCGCUCAGAGCUGUCGCGGGAGCUGGAGGAGCUCAGCGAGCGGCUGGAGGAGGCCGGCGGUGCCACCUCGGCGCAGCUGGAGCUCAACAAGAAGCGAGAGGCCGAGUUCCAGAAGCUGCGGCGGGACCUGGAGGAGGCCACGCUGCAGCACGAGGCCACGGCGGCCGCGCUGAGGAAGAAACACGCCGACAGUGUGGCCGAGCUGGGAGAGCAGCUGGACAACCUCCAGCGUGUCAAGCAGAAGCUGGAGAAGGAGAAGAGCGAGCUCAAGCUGGAGCUGGAUGACCUCAGCGCCAACGUGGAGCAGCUGAUCAAGUCUAAGGUGGCCAUGGAGAAGAUGUCGCGCUCCAUGGAGGACCAGGCUGCCGAGCACUUGGCAAAGCUGGAGGAGACCCAACGCGUCCUCAACGACGCCAACACCCAACGGGCCAAGCUGCAGACGGAGAACGGUGAGCUGUCGCGGCAGCUGGAGGAGAAGGAGGCGCUGGUGUCCCAGCUGACCCGCGGCAAGGUGUCCUACACCCAGCAGCUGGAGGACCUGCGGAGGCAGCUGGAGGAGGAGAUGAAGGCCAAGAACGCGCUGGCGCACGCGCUGCAGUCGGCCCGGCACGACGGGGACCUGCUGCGGGAGCAGUACGAGGAGGAGACCGAGGCCAAGGCCGAGCUCCAGCGCUCGCUCUCCAAGGCCAACUCCGAGGUGGCCCAGUGGAGGACCAAGUAUGAGACAGACGCCAUCCAACGCACUGAGGAGCUGGAGGAGGCCAAGAAGAAGCUGGCGCAGCGGCUGCAGGAGGCCGAGGAGGCCGUGGAGGCCGUCAACGCCAAAUGCUCCUCACUGGAGAAGACCAAGCACCGGCUGCAGAACGAGAUCGAGGACCUGAUGGCUGACGUGGAGCGGUCGAACGCGGCUGCCGCUGCCUUGGACAAGAAGCAGAGGAACUUUGACAAGGUGUUGGCCGAGUGGAAGCAGAAGUUCGAGGAGUCGCAGACGGAGCUGGAGGCAUCCCAGAAGGAGGCCAGGGCCCUCAGCACCGACCUCUUCAAGCUGAGGAACAUCUACGAGGAGUCCCUGGAGCACCUGGAGACCUUCAAGAGGGAGAACAAGAAUCUCCAAGAGGAGAUCUCGGACCUCACGGAGCAGCUCGGCGCUGGCAACAAAUCCAUCCACGAGCUGGAGAAGGUCCGGAAACAGCUGGACGCCGAGAAGCUGGAGCUCCAAGCUGCUCUGGAAGAGGCUGAGGCCUCCCUGGAGCACGAGGAGGGGAAGAUCCUGAGGGCGCAGCUGGAGUUCAACCAGGUGAAGGCGGAGUACGAGCGGAAGCUGGGCGAGAAGGAGGAGGAGAUGGAGCAGGUGAAGCGCAACCACCUGCGCGUGGUGGAGUCGCUCCAGACCUCGCUGGACGCCGAGACCCGGAGCCGCAACGAGGCCCUGAGGCUGAAGAAGAAGAUGGAGGGCGACCUCAACGAGAUGGAGAUCCAGCUCAGCCACGCCAACCGUGGCGCCAAUGAGGCCCAGAAGCAGGUCAAGGCUCUGCAGGGCUACCUGAAGGACACACAGCUGCAGCUGGAUGACGCAGCAAGGGUCGGGGAGGACCUGAAGGAGAACGUGGCCAUGGUGGAGCGCAGGAACACCCUGCUGCAGUCCGAGCUGGAGGAGCUCCGGGGCCUGGUGGAACAGACCGAGAGGGCCCGGAAACUGGCCGAGCAGGAGCUCAUCGAGGCCAGCGAGAGGGUCCAGCUCCUCCACUCGCAGAACACCAGCCUCAUCAGCCAGAAGAAGAAGAUGGAGGGUGACAUCUCCCAGCUGCAGACAGAGGUGGAAGAGGCCGUCCAGGAGUGCCGGAACGCUGAGGAGAAGGCCAAGAAGGCCAUCACCGAUGCGGCCAUGAUGGCAGAGGAGCUGAAGAAGGAGCAGGACACGAGCGCGCACCUGGAGCGCAUGAAGAAGAACAUGGAGCAGACCAUCAAGGACCUGCAGCUGCGGCUGGACGAGGCCGAGCAGCUGGCCCUCAAGGGCGGCAAGAAGCAGCUGCAGAAGCUGGAGGGGCGCGUGAGGGAGCUGGAGAACGAGCUGGAGGCCGAACAGAAGCGCAACGCCGAGAGCGUCAAGGGGCUGCGCAAGUCCGAGCGGCGCGUCAAGGAGCUCAGCUACCAGACGGAGGAGGACAAGAAGAACCUGCUGCGGCUGCAGGACUUGGUGGACAAACUGCAGAUGAAAGUCAAGGCCUACAAGAGACAGGCGGAGGAGGCGGAGGAGCAGGCCAACACCAACCUGGCCAAGUUCCGGAAGGCGCAGCACGAGCUGGAUGAGGCUGAGGAACGUGCCGACAUCGCCGAGUCCCAGGUCAACAAACUGCGGGCCAAGAGCCGCGACAUCGGAGCCAAGAAGCUGCACGAUGAGGAGUGACCCAUCCCUAUGAGGGACCCACCAGUAAUGACCCACCACCAUGAGUGACACCACUGCCACUAUGAGGGACACACCAUGAUGAAGGUUCCACCAUGAUGAAGGUUCCAUCAUGAUGAAGGUCCCAUCAUGACAAUGACUGACCAACCACGAUGAUAAGGGUCCCACCAUCACCAUGAGGGGUCCAUCACCUCACAUUGAGGGACUGACCACCACAGGGGACUCCUCACUGUGAUAAGAAACCCAUGACCACCAUGACGAGUGACCUGCCCCUGUGAUGAGGGAUCCUCCACCACCACCGUGGGGGACCCACCAUGAUGGCACCAUGAAGGACCUCCCAUACCACAACAGGGGACCUGCCCACCAUGAUACAAGUUACUCACCACCACCAAGAUGGACCUGCAAUGAUGAUGAGAUGAACCCACCACCACCAAGAUGGACCCACAAUGACGAUGAGAUGAACCCACCACCACCAAGAUGGACCCACAAUGACGAUGAGAUGAACCCACCACCACCAUGAUGGACCCACGAUGAUGAGAUGAACCCACCACCACCAUGAUGGACCCAUGAUGAUGAUGAUGGACCCACCAUCAUGAGUGACUCCAAACCCCACAGUAGACCCUCUCCCCACCAGUGACACCCCCCACCCCCUGUCCAAGACGAGGGGACCCCG